Molecule: ribosomal RNA, 510 nt
Filed under: uncultured bacterium
Lineage: Bacteria
Description: bacterial SSU rRNA
Rfam family: Bacterial small subunit ribosomal RNA
Source: RNAcentral
UGGGGAAUCUUGGACAAUGGGGGCAACCCUGAUCCAGCCAUGCCGCGUGAGUGAUGAAGGCCUUAGGGUCGUAAAGCUCUUUCGCCUGUGAAGAUAAUGACGGUAGCAGGUAAAGAAGUCCCGGCUAACUCCGUGCCAGCAGCCGCGGUAAUACGGAGGGGACUAGCGUUGUUCGGAAUUACUGGGCGUAAAGAGUUCGUAGGCGGACUAGCAAGUUAGAGGUGAAAUCCCAGGGCUCAACCUUGGAACUGCCUUUAAAACUGCUAGUCUAGAGACCGGAAGAGGUUAGGGGAAUACCUAGUGUAGAGGUGAAAUUCGUAGAUAUUAGGUGGAACACCAGUGGCGAAGGCGCCUAACUGGUCCGGUACUGACGCUGAGGAACGAAAGCGUGGGGAGCAAACAGGAUUAGAUACCCUGGUAGUCCACGCCGUAAACGAUGAGUGCUAGAUGUUGGGAUUUUCGGAUUUCAGUGUCGCAGCUAACGCAUUAAGCACUCCGCCUGGGGAGUAC